This 73-nucleotide transfer RNA is filed under the name Dryococelus australis. RNAcentral describes it as "tRNA-OTHER". It matches the Rfam family "tRNA". Rfam says of the family: Transfer RNA (tRNA) molecules are approximately 80 nucleotides in length. Their secondary structure includes four short double-helical elements and three loops (D, anti-codon, and T loops). Lineage: Eukaryota; Metazoa; Arthropoda; Insecta; Phasmatodea; Phasmatidae. The record is from RNAcentral.
GCCAGGCUAACUCAAUCGGUAGAGCACGAGACUCUUAAUCUCAGGGUCGUGGGUUCUAGCCCCAUGCUGGGGG